UUCGCAAUGCCCGAAAGGGUGACGAAGCGACGCCGCGUGUGGGAAGAAGGCCUUCGGGUUGUAAACCACUGUCGGGAGUUAAGAAAUGUAAGGGUGUUAAUAGCGCCUUUACUUGACAAAGGCUCCGGAGGAAGCCACGGCUAACUCUGUGCCAGCAGCCGCGGUAAUACAGAGGCGGCAAGCGUUGUUCGGAAUUAUUGGGCGUAAAGAGCACGUAGGCGGCUUUGCAAGUCAGUUGUGAAAGCCUUCCGCUUAACGGAAGAACAGCAGCUGAUACUACAGAGCUUGAGUACGGGAGGGGAGAGUGGAACUUCUGGUGGAGCGGUGAAAUGUGUGGAUAUCAGAAGGAACGCCGGCGGCGAAAGCGAUUCUCUGGUCCGAAACUGACGCUGAGUGUGCGAAAGCUAGGGGAUCAAACGGGAUUAGAUACCCCGGUAGUCCUAGCCGUAAACGAUGGGCACUAAGUAGAGGGGUUUU
RNAcentral lists this ribosomal RNA (477 nucleotides) under uncultured Planctomycetota bacterium. RNAcentral describes it as "bacterial SSU rRNA". It matches the Rfam family "Bacterial small subunit ribosomal RNA", at positions 365 to 832 of the family's 1533-position model. Lineage: Bacteria; Pseudomonadati; Planctomycetota. The record is from RNAcentral.